AUUCAGCUGACGAGUUCCAAAUAGGACGAAACGUGCGUCCUGAAU
RNAcentral lists this non-coding RNA (45 nucleotides) under Schistosoma haematobium. Lineage: Eukaryota; Metazoa; Platyhelminthes; Trematoda; Strigeidida; Schistosomatidae. The record is from RNAcentral.